Molecule: non-coding RNA, 170 nt
Filed under: Enterococcus cecorum
Lineage: Bacteria; Bacillati; Bacillota; Bacilli; Lactobacillales; Enterococcaceae
Also listed under: 1 other name
Description: Lysine sequence
Rfam family: Lysine riboswitch aptamer
About the family: Riboswitches are metabolite binding domains within certain messenger RNAs that serve as precision sensors for their corresponding targets. Allosteric rearrangement of mRNA structure is mediated by ligand binding, and this results in modulation of gene expression.
Source: RNAcentral
UUAAAAAGUAGAGGUCGCAGGAUUUAUUAAGCUUAUGGAGUCAAGCAAGACGUGGAAGUAAGUCUAGGAAAUACUGCCGAAACCAUUCUUUAUUGCUUGAAAGAAUGUGUUGGGGUGCAAGUGAAUAAUUUGCACACUGUCUUAGUUUUCUAAGAUGAGCUAUGUUUAGU